GCCCCGGUUGAUUAAUGGAAAUCACCCACACAACGUGCGAGUGAAGCAUGAUUAAUGUGGGAGACGGAGGUUCGAAUCCUCCCCAGGGCA
Non-coding RNA from Mycena rebaudengoi, 90 nucleotides. The record is from the annotation of a GenBank genome assembly. NCBI's taxonomy places the organism in Eukaryota, Fungi, Basidiomycota, Agaricomycetes, Agaricales, Mycenaceae.